This 57-nucleotide transfer RNA is filed under the name Monodelphis domestica (gray short-tailed opossum). It matches the Rfam family "tRNA", at positions 8 to 63 of the family's 71-position model. From Rfam's summary of the family: Transfer RNA (tRNA) molecules are approximately 80 nucleotides in length. Their secondary structure includes four short double-helical elements and three loops (D, anti-codon, and T loops). Further hydrogen bonds mediate the characteristic L-shaped molecular structure. tRNAs have two regions of fundamental functional importance: the anti-codon, which is responsible for specific mRNA codon recognition, and the 3' end, to which the tRNAs corresponding amino acid is attached (by aminoacyl-tRNA synthetases). tRNAs cope with the degeneracy of the genetic code in two manners: having more than one tRNA (with a specific anti-codon) for a particular amino acid; and 'wobble' base-pairing, i.e. permitting non-standard base-pairing at the 3rd anti-codon position. Lineage: Eukaryota; Metazoa; Chordata; Mammalia; Didelphimorphia; Didelphidae. The record is from Rfam by way of RNAcentral.
UGAUGUAAUGGAAAACAUGCUAGAUUUGGAAUCUGAAGUCCUGGGUUCAAAUCCUAG